This 439-nucleotide ribosomal RNA is filed under the name uncultured bacterium. Its description in RNAcentral is "partial 16S ribosomal RNA". It matches the Rfam family "Bacterial small subunit ribosomal RNA", at positions 338 to 795 of the family's 1533-position model. The record is from RNAcentral.
CCUACGGGAGGCUGCAGUGGGGAAUUUUGCGCAAUGGGGGAAACCCUGACGCAGCAACGCCGCGUGCGGGAUGACGGCCCUCGGGUUGUAAACCGCUUUCAGCAGGGACGAUAUUGACGGUACCUGCAGAAGAAGCUCCGGCGAACUACGUGCCAGCAGCCGCGGUAAUACGUAGGGAGCGAGCGUUGUCCGGAUUCAUUGGGCGAAAAGCGCGCGUAGGCGGCUGCCUAGGCGGAACCUCUUACCCCGGGGCUAAACCUCGGGCCGGGUUCCGAACUGGAUGGCUCGAGUGCGGUAGAGGAGGGCGGAAUUCCCGGUGUAGAGGUGGAAUGCGGAGAUAUCGGGAAGAACACCGAUGGCGAAGGCAGCUCUCUGGGCCGGCACUGACGCUGAGGCGCGAAAGCUGGGGGAGCGAACAGGAUUAGAUACCCUUGUAGUC